GACGAACGCUGGCGGCGUGCCUAAUACAUGCAAGUAGAACGCUGAAGGAGGAGCUUGCUUCUCUGGAUGAGUUGCGAACGGGUGAGUAACGCGUAGGUAACCUGCCUGGUAGCGGGGUAUAACUAUUGGAAACGAUAGCUAAUACCGCAUAAUAGUAGAUGUUGCAUGACAUUUGCUUAAAAGGUGCAAUUGCAUCACUACCAGAUGGACCUGCGUUGUAUUAGCUAGUUGGUGGGGUAACGGCUCACCAAGGCGACGAUACAUAGCCGACCUGAGAGGGUGAUCGGCCACACUGGGACUGAGACACGGCCCAGACUCCUACGGGAGGCAGCAGUAGGGAAUCUUCGGCAAUGGACGGAAGUCUGACCGAGCAACGCCGCGUGAGUGAAGAAGGGUUUCGGAUCGUAAAGCUCUGUUGUAAGAGAAGAACGAGUGUGAGAGUGGAAAGUUCACACUGUGACGGUAUCUUACCAGAAAGGGACGGCUAACUACGUG
RNAcentral lists this ribosomal RNA (495 nucleotides) under uncultured bacterium. RNAcentral's name for it is "partial 16S ribosomal RNA". It matches the Rfam family "Bacterial small subunit ribosomal RNA", at positions 28 to 507 of the family's 1533-position model. The record is from RNAcentral.